UCAUUUUUAUUUUAAUCUAUGAAAUCUUCAGUUCAUUUGGGAUUUAAUGUAAAUGAACUUAGGGAUUUAAAAGAACCUCAGAAAUCUCAUGAUGUUCAACAAAAGCCACAAACUCCAGCCUCUGGAACAAAAUUCCAUGCACCAACUCAGACUCUGGACAACAUCUGUGAAGCAUAUUUGCAGAGAAGGAUAGUGAAGUUCUGGUGGAGAUCAGGUUGCCAGUAGUGCACCCCUACAUCAAUGAAGACCAACAGCUUUCCUGAGCAGCAUCAGCCAACCUGUUCAGGGAAGCAGUUCUUCCCCUGAAUGUGGGUGGCACUUAUGAGACCAAAUCUAAAGUACUGGGUUGAGUUUUGGGCUCCUCUGUACAAGAAGGACGUGGACAUGCCAAACCCAGAGAAAAGAGGAAUCCUGUACAAAGGAAUUCAUUGCACUUUCUCUAUCCUGAAUGGAUUUUCAACUUGAAAAAAUGCAACAUACUACAAAUUAAUGAUGUCUCCAAACAACAGGACACCACACAGGACCUUGAGGAAAUCCAGGGCUAGGCAGCAGCAUGGAUGCAGCCAACCCGUCUGGGAGGAGGAAGCCCCAGAUACUGAGAACAUGAGCUGUUCUGCACUACAUGUGAAACCUAAGGAGACAAGCUUUCCUGCUAAGACUACAGAUGUCUGGGAAAUAUGCUGGGCUCUACAAGGAACAAGGAGCAAGCUAUGUCUAUCAGCUACCUCCUCAACAUCUACACCCUCUGGCAGCUCAGACUGAACACAAGAGAAGAAAGUUCAAAUACUAGGUUCAAGUACUGAAUUUUGAAUUUGCUCUCUAUAACUACCUGAAGGGAGGUUGUAGUGAGCUGGGGGUCGGCCUCUUCUCUCAUGUAACUGGUGAUAGGACCAGAGGGAAUGGCUUCAAGCUGCGCCAGCGGAGAUUCAGGGUGGACUUAGGAAAUACUACUUCUCUGAAAGAGUGGUCAGGUACUGGAAUGGGCUGCCCAGGGAGGUGGUGGAGUCACUGACCCUGGAGGUGUUCAAGGAACAUUUGGAUUUUGUGUUGAGGGACAUGGUUUAGUGAGAGCUAUUGGUGAUAGGUGGAUGGUUGGACUGGAUGAUCUUGAAGGUCUUUUCCAACCUUGGUGAUUCUCUGAUUCUGUGAAUUCUCUAAAAUGCCAAGACAUUCAGCAAUGAAGAGGAGAGAAAUUAGUGGAGCUGGGAUGUUUUCAUCCAGGCUGAGGACAGAGUUGAGCAGCUCGUUCACCAUCAGACUUCAAAGGAUCAGCACAGGCAAGAGGCACCACUGACUGAACUCUGUGCAUUCUGCUGCUCUGAGAACAGUGUUUGCAGCAUCUCUCUUCACUGCAUGGGAACUUUCUGCACCUUAUGAUAAAUUGUUUCUAAUCACUUUUAAAUUAUUGGUGACUUUCUGCUAGCUAAGUAAUUAUCAUAGUAUCGUGCAAUUAAUUUAUCAUUUUUUCCCUUUACAGAUCUAGGACAGUUUUACUAAAAAAUGAAAGAAAAAUAAAGUAUCUAAGAUCUUUACUAAGAAUGCA
Molecule: long non-coding RNA, 1543 nt
Filed under: Phasianus colchicus (ring-necked pheasant)
Lineage: Eukaryota; Metazoa; Chordata; Aves; Galliformes; Phasianidae
Description: lncRNA (ENSPCLG00000019897.1)
Source: RNAcentral